GAUGAAGAACGUAGCGAAAUGCGAUAAGUAGUGUGAAUUGCAGAAUUCAGUGAAUCAUCGAAUCUUUGAACGCACAUUGCGCCCCUUGGUAUUCCAUGGGGCAUGCCUGUUCGAGCGUCAUUUGUACCUUCAAGCUCUGCUUGGUGUUGGGUGUUUGUCUCGCCUCUGCGUGUAGACUCGCCUCAAAACAAUUGGCAGCCGGCGUAUUGAUUUCGGAGCGCAGUACAUCUCGCGCUUUGCACUCAUAACGACGACGUCCAAAAGUACAUUUUUACACUCUUGACCUCGGAUCAGGUAGGGAUACCCGCUGGACUUAAGCAUAUCAAUAAGCGGAGGA
RNAcentral lists this unclassified non-coding RNA (337 nucleotides) under soil metagenome. Its description in RNAcentral is "partial contains 5.8S ribosomal RNA, internal transcribed spacer 2, and large subunit ribosomal RNA". The stretch from base 1 to 120 matches the Rfam family "5.8S ribosomal RNA", at positions 35 to 154 of the family's 154-position model. The record is from RNAcentral.